Molecule: ribosomal RNA, 381 nt
Filed under: uncultured eukaryote
Lineage: Eukaryota
Description: SSU rRNA
Rfam family: Eukaryotic small subunit ribosomal RNA
Source: RNAcentral
AGCUCCAAUAACGUAUAUUAAAAUUGUUGCGGUUAAAAAGCUCGUAGUUGGAUUUCUGCCGAGGACGACCGGUCCGCCCUCUGGGUGAGCAUCUGGUUCGGCCUGGGCAUCUUCUUGGAGAACGUUGCUGCACUUGACUGUGUGGAGCGGUAUCCAGGACUUUUACUUUGAGGAAAUUAGAAUGUUUCAAGCAAGCACACGCCUUGAAUGCAUUAGCAUGGAAUAAUAAGAUAGGACCUCGGUUCUAUUUUGUUGGUUUCUACAGCUGAGGUAAUGAUUAAUAAGGAUAGUUGGGGGCAUUCGUAUUUAACUGUCAGAGGUGAAAUUCUUGGAUUUGUUCAAGACGGACUAUUGCGAAAGCAUUUGCCAAGGAUGUUUUCA